CAGAAGGAAAGGAGACAGAUGGCCCAAGAGAAGAAGAAAGCCUGGAGAGAAUGUCUGAGGAUUUCUGUUCUGGUCUGAGAGAGCAAGCACGAGCAGGGGAAGGGCAGAGAGAGAAUCCCAAGCAGGCUCUGCACGGACAGCACAGAGCCCGAUGCGGGGCUCAAACUCGCAAACCCAUGAGAUCAAGACCUGAGCCGAAAUCCAGAAUCAGCUUAACGACUGAGCCACCCAGACGCCCCAGCCAUUGAUCUUUUUACCGUCUCCAUAGUUCGCCUUUUCCAGAAAGCCCUAUAGUUCGAAUGUAUGUAGCCUUUUCCAAUUGGCUUCUUUCAGUUAGUAAUUGCACUGAAGUUUUCCCCAUGUCUUUUCAAGGUUUGAUAGCUCAUUUCUUUUUAGUGCAGAGUAAUAUUCCAUUCCUGGAUUUACCAGGGUUUGCUUAUCCAUUCACCUACCGAAGGACAGCUUGGCUCCUUUCAAGUUUGGGCAAUUAUGAAUAAAGCUUCUAUAAACAUCUGUA
This is a long non-coding RNA of Neofelis nebulosa (Clouded leopard), 517 nucleotides long. RefSeq lists it as uncharacterized. The transcript is spliced from 2 exons. Lineage: Eukaryota; Metazoa; Chordata; Mammalia; Carnivora; Felidae. The record is from RefSeq and is a predicted model, not a curated record.